RNAcentral lists this ribosomal RNA (407 nucleotides) under uncultured bacterium. RNAcentral describes it as "partial 16S ribosomal RNA". It matches the Rfam family "Bacterial small subunit ribosomal RNA", at positions 28 to 526 of the family's 1533-position model. The record is from RNAcentral.
GACGAACGCUGGCGGCGUGCCUAAUACAUGCAAGUCGGACGCAGUUGCGAACGGGUGAGUAACGCGUAGGUCACUGCCUAUUAGAGGGGGAUAACUAUUGGAAACGAUAGCUAAUACCGCAUACUAGUAGAUUGACCUGCGUUGUAUUAGCUUGUAGGUAGGGUAAUGGCCUACCUAGGCAACGAUAAAUAGCCGACGUGGGAGGGUGAUCGGCCAAAAUGGGACUGGGACAACGGCCAGACUCCUAAGGGAAGGAGGAGUAGGGGAAUAUCGGACAUGGGGGGAAAGCUGGACGGUCAAAGCCGGGUGAGGGAAGAAGGGUUUCGGGUCGUAAAGCUAUGUUGAUAAGGAAGCGGUACUUAACCAGAAAGGGACGGCUAACUACGUGCCAGCAGCCGCGGUAAUUC